UUCCAUCAGCAACCCGGAUUCGAGCCAGAGACCUUUAGAUCUUCAGUCUAACGCUUUCACAACAUAGCUGAAUAGUAAUAGA
Cordylochernes scorpioides is the source of this 82-nucleotide non-coding RNA. The record is from the annotation of a GenBank genome assembly. NCBI's taxonomy places the organism in Eukaryota, Metazoa, Arthropoda, Arachnida, Pseudoscorpiones, Chernetidae.